AUUGAACGCUGGCGGCAGGCCUAACACAUGCAAGUCGAGCGGAUGAAGGGAGCUUGCUCCUGGAUUCAGCGUCGGACGGGGGAGUAAUGCCUAGGAAUCUGCCUGGUAGUGGGGGAGAACGUCCGGAAACGGGCGCUAAUACCGCAUACGUCCUGAGGGAGAAAGUGGGGGGUCUUCGGACCUCACGCUAUCAGGUGAGCCGAGGUCGGAUUAGCUAGUUGGUGGGGUAAAGGCCUACCAAGGCGACGAUCCGUAACUGGUCUGAGAGGAUGAUCAGUCACACUGGAACUGAGACACGGUCCAGACUCCUACGGGAGGCAGCAGUGGGGAAUAUUGGACAAUGGGCGAAAGCCUGAUCCAGCCAUGCCGCGUGUGUGAAGAAGGUCUUCGGAUUGUAAAGCACUUUAAGUUGGGAGGAAGGGCAGUAAGUUAAUACCUUGCUGUUUUGACGUUACCAACAGAAUAAGCACCGGCUAACUUCGUG
This 484-nucleotide ribosomal RNA is filed under the name uncultured bacterium. Its description in RNAcentral is "partial 16S ribosomal RNA". It matches the Rfam family "Bacterial small subunit ribosomal RNA", at positions 30 to 507 of the family's 1533-position model. The record is from RNAcentral.